This 585-nucleotide ribosomal RNA is filed under the name Salmonella enterica subsp. enterica serovar Javiana. RNAcentral describes it as "partial 23S ribosomal RNA". It matches the Rfam family "Bacterial large subunit ribosomal RNA", at positions 911 to 1497 of the family's 2925-position model. The record is from RNAcentral. Lineage: Bacteria; Pseudomonadati; Pseudomonadota; Gammaproteobacteria; Enterobacterales; Enterobacteriaceae.
UGUUUCGGCUAGGGGGCCAUCCCGGCUUACCAACCCGAUGCAAACUGCGAAUACCGGAGAAUGUUAUCACGGGAGACACACGGCGGGUGCUAACGUCCGUCGUGAAGAGGGAAACAACCCAGACCGCCAGCUAAGGUCCCAAAGUCAUGGUUAAGUGGGAAACGAUGUGGGAAGGCCCAGACAGCCAGGAUGUUGGCUUAGAAGCAGCCAUCAUUUAAAGAAAGCGUAAUAGCUCACUGGUCGAGUCGGCCUGCGCGGAAGAUGUAACGGGGCUAAACCAUGCACCGAAGCUGCGGCAGCGACACUCAGGUGUUGUUGGGUAGGGGAGCGUUCUGUAAGCCUGCGAAGGUGGCCUGUGAGGGUUGCUGGAGGUAUCAGAAGUGCGAAUGCUGACAUAAGUAACGAUAAAGCGGGUGAAAAGCCCGCUCGCCGGAAGACCAAGGGUUCCUGUCCAACGUUAAUCGGGGCAGGGUGAGUCGACCCCUAAGGCGAGGCCGAAAGGCGUAGUCGAUGGGAAACGGGUUAAUAUUCCCGUACUUGGUGUUACUGCGAAGGGGGGACGGAGAAGGCUAUGUUGGCCGGGCG